RNAcentral lists this ribosomal RNA (390 nucleotides) under Triticum aestivum (bread wheat). RNAcentral's name for it is "partial small subunit ribosomal RNA". The record is from RNAcentral. Lineage: Eukaryota; Viridiplantae; Streptophyta; Magnoliopsida; Poales; Poaceae.
AUGGUUUUGGGGGACUUCAAUGAAAUUUUGUACUCAUCAGAGAAGGACGGGGGCCCUGCUCGUCAGCAGUCCCAUUUACAGGCUUUCCAAGACACCUUAUCUGAUUGCUCAUUAGUGGAUGUUGGAUAUAAUGGAGAUAAAUUUACAUGGUUUCGAGGGGGGUUACGUGAGAGGCUUGACCGAGUGGUUACUAAUGCCGCUUGGCUUCUGUUGCAUCCAUCCGCUGGACUUUGUAAUCUGGACAUGGGCAAGUCAGACCACUGACCGAUUCUUAUGGAUACCGAGUAUCUAACAGGGGUGGCAGCAAGCAACCCUAUAAGAGAGAAGAAAUUUGAAAUGAGAUGGUUGGCAGAAGAAUCAGUAAAUGAGAUUAUUAACACGACAUGGUAG